This is a long non-coding RNA of Cuculus canorus (common cuckoo), 9576 nucleotides long. RefSeq lists it as uncharacterized. The record is from RefSeq and is a predicted model, not a curated record. NCBI's taxonomy places the organism in Eukaryota, Metazoa, Chordata, Aves, Cuculiformes, Cuculidae. The transcript has 3 exons.
CAUAACAGACAUAUUUAUGGGUAUUUCAGAAAUACUGGUUUUAGUCUUAAGAGGUCAGCAAAGCAUCACGACUAUCUCAGAACCAAGAGGGAACUGACAUUCAAAGCUAAAGGCCUGCAACUGGAUCAGAGACCGAGAAGAGGCCACUUACCUGGGGACCAUCACUCCUACAGUGCGAGGACAGCACGAAGGCAGGCUCUGCAGAGCACGCCAUGUCCAGCCCCAAGCACACCCCGUCACUCCGAGCGGCUUGGGGUUUGGAAUCAGGCAGCACGUCCAAACCCCAGGUGAUUCUGCCUACUCAACCAGGACAAAGGAAGGAGCUGGACAAGGAGUGUGGAACUGCAAUCCCUCCCCAACCAGCAACCCCUGGGGCUCCACUGGCUGACCAGGGAGUGUUUUGGUCACGCUGUGACAUUCAGCACAGGGUCUUGGUGGCAGGAGGCAGAGAACAGCAUCUGACUGCAGUUCUGAACCUAUCGGCUGCACAGGGUACGAAGGAGGCACCAGUGUAAGUCAUUGAUAAUCGUGUGUAUGUACUAAUAUGUUGCCUGUUGGUCAUGUUAAAUACGUGUGAAUUAAUGGAGCCAAGAGGUACUUUCUAAAUAUGUGAUGAAGAGCUACACUUGUGUCUGAAGGGCAAUUAUCUGUCAGAGUGCAUGCUGGAGAACGAAAUGAAGUCUGGAUCAGAAACAAAACCCAUUUAUAGCUAUAAUUAAUCACUUGAAAUCAGAGCAGUUUUUAAAAAGGUAUUCUUGUUGAAUCAGAAGUCAUCGAAGUAAAUACUGCAGUUGUGGGUUAAAAUACUGACGCUGACAAAGGGACCCGGAGCAGAUGAUCCCUCCAGGCUGUCACAAACACUCCGACAGCAUGCUAAGCCCACAUCAAGUCAGGACAAAACUGAGUUUUUCUUUAUAGGUGUAAUGCACAUUAAAACCUGCAAAGCACUGAAAUAACUGUGAGAGCCCACGCUUCUGUACAAAUGUGGAUUUAGCCAGCAUAAUUGGUUAAACUAUUCUCUCUCUGCUCUGGAUCACCAAUUGCCCAAGCAGCCACAGGAAUCUAAUUCUUUCCAGGUGGUUUAGACAUCGAACUGUUUUCCACCUCCAAGACCAGGGAAAGCAUCUGAUCCAGAAAAUCAUUCCAGAAAGCAGGCAGAACUCCCUGGCACAGCUCAAGGAAGGGAUUUCACUCUGUCACAGCAUCUACUACAAAAAAUCUGUCUCCUGAAAACAUACACUUUUCUGUUCCAAUUCAUAAUCUGGAGUUGUUAAAUCACCUAUAAAUUUACCCUAUUUAUGGGCACUUGGCUUUUUCAAGCUGUGACCUGAAGUGUCAUCCAAGUGGGCUAUAGCCAAAGUAAUUAAUUGGAAUCACACAGAGCAGCCAAGAAAGCAAGAAUGCCCCUUGCUGACAUUUCUGUUGGUCCUACAAAUGGGCCUUUAAUUUCUAAAGCCACUAUCACUAAUAAACAGUCAUUCACGUUUCUUAUUCUACUCUCAGCUCAAGAUCUGGAGAUUUCGUUUUACAGCUUAAAUAAAACUGAAGGACUUCAUAAAUUACCAGGUAUUUAAACUGAAGAAAUUUUUAGAGUAGCCAGAAGAGAUCACUGCUAGGGAUCACCUCAUGGAGAUAUCGUUAUUCUCCUGCAAUGAGACUGAGAAGCCCCCGAAGCAUCCCCUCUGUAUCUCAUGGGAAUAUAUUCAUUGGGAGAGCCAGAGCAGCUUUCCUAGAAGAACACAUGCUGAUGAAGCUGAUUUCUGAGGCCAUUAAGAAACUCAUUGCUAUUUAACACAGAUUCCUGGAGAACAAUGGAGAUGUAGCUGAAUUUACCCACGAAGUUAGACUUCAAAAAUCAGAGAGCUUACUUCCCAAAUAAUGAAGUAUUAAUAGUUGAUACAUCUGUGUGGGGCUAAAAUGAUUAAACUGUAAAAGGUAUUCAUAGAGAAGCCAAAGUAGUAAGCAUACCACUGAGAUACACUGAAUUUUAGAGCUGUUUGUAUAUAACAAGAGCUGUAAGCUCUCACAGAUGUGGGAUAUUUAUACCACCCUUUUUCCAAAGAGAAACUAAAGCUUUUCAAAAUGCUGCUGCUGCUUUUUUUCCAUUUUGUAUAGCUUUGACUCCAUGCCCAGCAUGGGCUAUAGCUGCAGUGUUUUAGACACUUGAUUUCCUGACUCUCCUGGAAGGACUCUGCACUGACCAUAAAGAAACUUCUGACUCAGAUGCACACAGGGACAGCCCAGAGACAGCCUUGCCUUUUGGGCGCUGCAAUAAAUAUCUGUAAUACUACUCGGCACUCAUGCAGGACAAUGUCUCACAGGUUCAUCUGUAGCGACCUGGAAAUAGGUUCCUAGCUAUCUGCGGGACGGACUGGCGACACAGUGCAAGAUAAGUUCAAUUAACUGGGCUUCAUUUAAAACCAAGUACAUUCUUGACCUAUGCUUUUAUCAUAAAGUAAAAGAAUCAGCAUUAAAAAUGCGCUAAUAAGCAGGUAAAUAGCCAUAAGAAGGACAAUGACACCUCUGGAUUGUAUCAGUCAGAGCUCUUCUACUUUUUAUGCUGAUAUCCAAAGCUGUGGUGCAUCAGAAAGCACGUGCAGUCCUGCUACUAAGCCAGCGCCACCGACAGAAGAGCUCAGUACAGCUGCUGCUGGUACUCAGAACUAUAGUUUUGGUGACACACUGCUGAUUUGGACCUCCCGAGCACUUUUCUGUACUUAUCAACGCUUUGCACCCAACCGUAUGUAGAUAAACCCACCCAGCCUCCAAUUCCCAGGCUGCUGACACUGAUAAAAUCAGGAGGCAGAAACCCUGACGGACAGCAAGUUGAACACAGCAGGGUGCAAGCUAACCACAUCCCAGGUUGUACACACCAAGAGUGCUACCAGCUGUCACUGGGAAGUGACCUCCCCUCUUCUUGGCACUCACAUAUGCUUCUGUAGACCUUGGGGCCACCAGUACAAAAGUGAUCCUACCAAACUGGAGAAAGACCAGGGAAGACCUCUAAGAUGUCAGGGGGCUGAACGCAUGAUGCGGGAGGAGAGGCUGGGUUUGUUCAGGUUGGAGAAGGGAAGAUGAAGAGGGGUUUUAACUGCUGUGCUCUACUGCCUGAAAAGCACUGACAGAGAAAAUCAAGAUCUGAGAAGAUCAAGAUCCAAGACCUCAUCUGGAGUUAUUGCGUCCAGUUCUCAAAUCCUCAAGGUAAGAAGGAUAUGGAACUGUUGGAAUGGGUCCAGAGGAGGGCUACAAAGAUGACCAGAGUGCUGGAGCACCUCUCCCAUAUGAGGACAGGCUGAGAGAGUUGGGGUUGUUCAGCCUGGAGAAGAGAAGGCUCUGAGCAGACCUCACAGCAACCUUCCAGUACCUGAAGGGGCUACAAGAAAGCUGUGGAGGGACUGUGUACAAAGGUUUGUAAUGACAGGUCUAGGGGCAAUGAAUAUAAACUAGAGAGGGGCAGAUCUAGAUGACACAUAAGGAGGAACUUCACUAUGAGGGUGGUUAGGCACUGGAACAGGUUGCCCAGGGAACCUGUGGAUGCCCCUCCCCAGAGGUGUUCAAGGCCAGGCUGGAUGGGGCCUUGGGCAGCCUGGUCUUGUGGGAGGUGUCCCUGUCCAUGGCAGGAGGAUUGGAACUAGAUGGAUGAUCUUUAAGGUCCCUUCCAACCCAAACUCUUCUAUGAUUCUACGACUCUAAGAUACAGUCUUCUCAAUGGAAAGACAAUACAGAACAGACACAAACAGCAAGAUGAGAAAUUCCAACUAGAUAUGAGGAAAGAAAUUCUUCGGCGAGAUUGACUGAGCACUGAGACAGGUUGCUCAGAAAGACUGUGGACAUGCCAUCCUGACAGACAUGUACACCUCCACUGCACGAGGUUCUGAGUAACCUCAUCUAACCUUGGCAUUAAAUCUGGUUCAAGCAGGAGGCAGGCUAGCAGAGCUCCCUUUCAACCUAAAUGUAGCUGUUAUUUCUAUGAUGCUACAAAGACAGACUGAUCAUAUUUACUCAUUUACUUUCCCUUUGAAAGUAUUAAUUUAUACAAACUAGUUUCUUGACAGAAACUACAACUUUGAAUUACCAUGAUCUUAUUUACUUAACGUUGACAUUUACCUCAACAGACAUCAGCACUUCAAUUAUUAUAUGGAAUUAACAAAGGAGAUAAAGCACACUCAACAUAUGCCUCAAAAGCCCAAGGCAAUCAUUCAUCCUUACUGACUGUACCGGCAAUCGCUACUUAUCACUUUCCUAAGGUUACUGCAGAAAAUCAGUCUAGACUACUCUUGUCCAUCUGCAGAUGGAGAACCUUUCACAUGAAUGGUCACACUGCUGCUUUUGUAGGCUCUGGAGAGGCUACAGUUCCUUUCCUGCCACACGACUGUGUACGAACCUACCACAAUACUAAACCGUUGGCAUCAAUAUCGUGUAUUGUGGAUCUAUGUCUAAUCACACAAUUGGAAACAGCUACUUUUUCACUGUGUGACAGCUGCGUACUCCAUCUGGUGAUAGAAAAGGGAUGCAUGCCUAGGGAGAGCUGUCUGGGAGAGGACUGGAAGAACAAUUCACUUGGACUGCAUCAGCCUCCCUGAAUUCCUCUUAUGAAGCCCCAGCUGAAAAAGGACAACAAGCUACAGGCCAGAAUUAUUAUUUUGACAGAUGAGAUUCGGUUCUUGGCCAGGGUUUCUCUGCCCCAGUUGAAAUGAAGAGCUGUAAAUGACAAGAUUGUAACUGCUUUAAAAAUAGGCUUAGCUUUAAGAACACUGUUUUGCAGGUAAGCGGGAGCCUUGAAAGAAGAGCAGAAAGCUUUCUGAGAUAUGCAUACCAGCUCACAGUGUCUCCCAUGGACAUCUCCCUCAGAAGUGCCAGACAAUGGAAAGAAUAUAAAAGGCAUUUUGCAUCAUUAGUGCUCGAUUUUUAAUUUUCCAUUUUUCCUCCAAAUACUGCUCCUGUGCAGUCUGAAGCUUGUCAUCACACCUUCAGUAUGUGCCACUCACACAUACUAGCAUGAUGAUACUCAUGAUCCCAUGGAGACAUCAUUGUUUCCUGCUUACAACAUGGGAAGAGCAAAAUAGUAGUCUGAGUACUCUGAGACCCAGAUCACCUGAGCAGAGGACUGCUACUGGCCUGAGGAUAUUCCCUCUCAUCCUUUAAGUCUGAUUUCAAGAGGUACUUUUCCUGUUUGGGGCAUAAGAACUGGGCCUUGCCAAAUCAUCUAAAACUGGAAGAUUCAGCUCACAGGCUGCUGGCUUACAACGCUGCUUAAUUGUGGUUGUUAGCACCAAGUUAUUUCUCCCUCUUUUGCACCAUUGGAUUUAUAUUAAAUGCCAUUUGGGUAGAGUCUUUACAUUGCUCUGUUUACGUAUACUUCCAGCACAAGCAAUCCUGAUCAGCAUGUCUGGCUACUCUCAUACUGAAGAAAAUACAAAUAAAAGAUUUCCCCGUCCUGAAAGUUGCAUCAAACACAAGGAAUUGGUGGCUAGACCAAGACAAGCCAUAUUAGCAGAGCCCAGCUGAGGACAGCACUCCAGGCAGACAAAACAUACAAUGUCGUAAAAGCCAAAUUCAUAAGGGGUGCUAUUCUGAAAGUUGCUGUGCAGACAUGAACACAGACACUUUGCACACUCAGGGCACCACUACCAGACGCUUUUGUUUAAAAGCAUCAUCAUCAUGUCCAUCCGCAUUAAGAAAGACUAGGUAAAACUGAUGAGCAAAUGGUAUGAUGAAAAAAGACAGUCUGAUGCUGCUGUGAUGCAACCUCUGUGCUUGACUUUAACACUUUAUUCCAUAAACACAAGCCAGUACGAGAACCAGUAGCUCUCCUACUCUCAUAGCCAAUGUUAGUCCUACUGAGAAAGAUUCUUUCAUUAGCAAGCAGUGAAAAAUCUUAGGCUCAAAUGGAAACCCAUAAAGCACAAGACCAAGUUAAGGCCUCAGGUGAACCCUGGUCUAACGCAUUCCAAGUAGUCCUUCAUAAAAUCUACUAGUCAGGACACAUGAAAAGAUUGACACGUUUUACGUACACAUCUGGAGGUCAAACUCUGACACGGAAAUACCAUGGACCCUAAACUAAUUGAAAGAAAGGCCUGUGUCAAUUUCUUUAAAUGGAGACAUUACCUAGAAUACCUGACACAGUAGUAGAUGUACAGCAGAUGGAGAAUCUUUUCUGUUUUGCAAGUUAGACAGUCUGUUUACUACUCAGCAGAGUGUUCUGGGCUGCUUGUAAGCAAGGCCAUUCAGGAGAGUUUGACAGCCACACUGUGAAACUUAAACAAUACCCACUGAGACGGAGAACCUGAACACAACUUUGAAGCAGGAAGUCUUCUGUCAGCAAGAGCUACACAAAUGGAGGAGUUGAAGAGCAAAACUGGAUCAGUCUCUGUGCAAAGACUGGUCAGAAAUCUCCGAUUUGAAUGUUGUGUGUACAAAUAUGUACUUGUUCACAAUUCCAUCCAAAUGAGGUGAAAACACUUUGAACACUCUUUCACUGCCGGCUCAGAGAACUAGCUUAGUGACUCAGAUGUGAGCAAGGCUUUUUAAAGAGUAAAGUCUCACCUUUGCUCUGAUGGUACCUUACUAUACUUUGCAUUCACAUUAAUUGGUUCACAUCAACAUGAUGGUUGGACUUGAUGAACUUAGAGGUUUUUUCCAACCUUAACGGUUCUAUGAUUCUAAUUCAUAUACUUUUGAGAUUUAUGCAUUAUCAUUCAGAGAUAAAUUGAGACAAGAAAGCUCAUCCAAAGUCAAAAUUGUGCUCAGAAUGAAGGACGAGAUCUGUUAUUAUGCAAUGUGGCUCCCACUGCAAAGCCACCUGGCACCUUUCCUAACCAUUCACAAACACAGCACUUCUGACAUGUGGGUAUGAUCACAGCCAUUACUUUCCUAACUUGAACACAACCUCAAGCAUAGGUCACUUCCUAACAUAUCGUUACUCCUAACUGACAACCUUUUUUAAUUUAAUUCAUUUAAUUUUUAAUUUAAUUAAUUUUAAAAAAGGCAGGGAAUGAGCAACACUGUACGAAGUCAGUAUGGAGGCAGCUGGCAGGACACCACUUCACGUGUGCUUAAUAGUGUCUCACUGGGCAAAGUAUGGAAGGAUGGAAACUUGCGAAGAAAAAAGUCAUGGCAAUACUGCUGGACCACUCAUUUCACAUAGUACUGCUUCCAAAAAUGUCCUUAAUGACUUUGGACUUGUUGCACAAGCAAAGCAACAUGAUAAAGAAGUCUCCUUGUUCUCCUUUGAGCAUGCUGGACAACAUGGCUAAUGAGGUAUCUGACCCGUAUUUUGGCAGAAAAUAAACAAUGUCUUCAGCCCCUGCUCCAACAGACAAUCCUUUUAAAAUGCAUGUAACAGUAAGCGUUAUGGAAUAAAGUGAAUUAAAUACGAAACAAGAGUAAGGUGGCCUUGAAGGGCAUUUUCUGAACCACAUCUAGGUACAACAAAGAAUCCAAACUUCAGAAAGCAAGUGCAACUACAACGGCAAUAAAAAACUUCAGCAUUCUUGGAGGCUUUAGGGACUGCAGAGAAUCAAAUCUUAAUUUCCAAAGACAGCCUAAAUAAGUUAAUUGAGAAUUCCACAUCAGGAAUGCAGUUCACAUAAAGAAUGUUUCCCUGGCUGUUAAUCUGCUACAAGUUCGAUGCAGAAAGAGCUGUUAAGGUCUUCAAGUCAAUCCCUACCUCAGAGCUGUUUUCCAUCUGACACAGGAUCAGCACUCACAAUGCUCUGACCCAUUUUCUCAAACAUACAGGAAUGAAAGCAGAUCCUGAGGGGGUUUGAAAUGAUAAAUUUUUGGGGUGAGCUUGAGAGACUGAUCUCUAUUUUUUACAUGACUACACAAUGACAACAACUGAAUUCAACAAUUGCAUGGCAGUGCUGUAAGAUUAUAAAAUUCCUACAGCAUUUUGUAAGGGCGAGAAAAACCAAAGUCUGUGACAGAAGACAAAAUUGUGGUGUUUCUGCCUCAAUUUUUUAAUGUACCUUUAAAGCUUACAUAACAAAAAAGCAGAAGUAUAAUUUUCUCAUUAAAAUACUGAUAUUCCAUUAAUAAUUGUGAAUCUGAAUUAAGAUACCCUAGUGGCAAAGAUGCUUUAGAAUUUUUUCCCCUUGAGUUUGAGAAAGGACUGGCAUGAAAAAGCAGCAACACUUACAUAACACGGAAAAGAAUUCAACUGUAAGGGGCUGGACAGCCCCAAGUAUUCUAAGAAUAUUAUAUUCCCUAGGUGUGAUAUUGCUAUGAAGUAUCCAACUUUCUUUAAACACAAUCCUAGAUGGACUUCAGCUUUUAUGUGGCUUUACUCUAUAUUUAUCUUUCUUUAAGGCUUUCAUCUUUCAUAAAAGCUGAAGUCUAUCUAGGAUUGUGUUUAAAGAAAGUUGGGUACCAUAAAAAGUAUCAAAUUCAACUGAGGUUUACAAAUUAUCAAGUAAAAGGAAAAAAAUGUCUUCACAGUAAUUUUGUAGUCAGUUAUGAGAAAAAUCAUUGGAAGAAUUCAGGAUCAAAACUGUGGACUAUUUUCUACGCUUUGUUUUCAAGGUAAUAGAAAAAUUCCGCAUUUUGCUCCCAAAUGGAAGAGUAAAUUUGGAAAUGGAUGUUCUUUUCUGUGUACUAAAGCAAAAGCUAGUAUUAAACUCCAGAGAAAACAUCCUUGCAAUUUUCCUUAUGGGUUAGUUAGUUCCAACACAUGGCUUGCUGCGCUUAUAAUAUCUGUAGGAUUUUAUGUUCCUUUCAAUCCUCCUCCACUCCCUCUGAGCUCUGCAAUUCUUCUCAUCACCCACGCCUGCAAACUGUGUCUAGUAUUUGAGUCUUCUACUCCUCCUCAUACAUUUACUCUUUUCAGACAUGUAUUUGUAAAAUAUAAAGAUUUGAAUAAGUUUUCACUUUUAAAAUAGACAAAGAUAUUUCUACACCUAUUUCCAGAACUAUUGCUAAUAAGAAGAUGCACGUAUCUUAUUUGUCCUCAAAGAAGUAUUAUAAACAGAAUAGGUGUUUCAGAAAGUCAAAUAACUAAGUUUUUCUAUUCUUUAAAGAUUUUUAAAAAUCUAUCAUUUCAGUUAACUGUCUUAAAAACUAAAUCUACAGAAUCUUAACACAUAUUUUACUAAUAAACUGAAUUCCUUCUCUUCAAAGUUUAGAAUCUAAAACCGCGACUUGCAAGCCUAGUCCGAUGAAUGUUUGCACUGCACUUGGCAAGAAUUUGAAGUAUUUCAAUGUUUUGCUAUUUUAUGCAAGAAAAAGGAAUGGAAACACAGUGAACAGUUGUACAGAUUCUAAGAUAGAAAGGAAACAUGCAUGCAGUUGUAAUAUUUCAUCUAGACUUGGACGUAUUUCCUCCCAAAUCUGCAUAUUUUUGACUGCAAGUUUAAAAUGCAUCAAAUGAAAAGUAGAAAUGUUCUCCAAAACAUUCCCUUUUGAUUAAGGAUGCUUGCGAAAUUCAAAUAAAAGGGACAAGUCAUCAGUCACUAUCUGAUAUGACAUAAUUUAUGAUGAUAUAUUUAUGUUAAAAUAUCAGAACCAUCCUCAUCAGGCUUCCUCACCAAAUAAGCAACUGUUUUUAGGAGGUUUAUUCUUGUAAAACACACAUUGUAU